AAAUUAACAUGUUUACGUACAACAUACACCAGUAAGGCCUGCUAUGGAUCUAGUCUGUACUCGGCAUGACCUCAGUUGCAACUCCACCCAGAAGAUCGCCAUCUAUGACGCCUACUACACUGACAACACCGAGUGUACACAGACAGGUCUCUCUAGCUGCGGCAAUUUCAAUCCAGUCAGUGUCACAGAACAUGGAUAUCACAGGUUCAACAACACCGAGCUGGUUUCCCUCUACAAAACCUGUUCAACAAAGAGUCAGUGCGUGUAUCGUGCUCCCGGGCGAGGUGCAACUGGUACAUUCUCUGUUGUGAAAUACCAGUGUAUUGAAGACUCGUUUGCGACUU
This is a long non-coding RNA of Haliotis rubra (blacklip abalone), 344 nucleotides long. RefSeq lists it as uncharacterized. NCBI's taxonomy places the organism in Eukaryota, Metazoa, Mollusca, Gastropoda, Lepetellida, Haliotidae. The record is from RefSeq and is a predicted model, not a curated record. The transcript has 3 exons.